AUAUAUUUCACUGUCAUGCCUUACCUCUUAAGUUCAUUCAAGAGACGACCCUGGUUGCUAUAUAGAUGAUAAUGGCCUAUCUCUUAUUAGGGUUAAGUGGCAAAACGACAUGGACGAUGCAAUGAAAGUGCUCCAACGGAUCAUCUAAAACCAAGCACCAAUAGGUAAGUGGGGAUAUGUUUAUGACAAAGACAUCUUUCACGUGUCUAAUUUGCACCAAUACUUGUGUCCUAUGUAUAUUAAUAAUGGGCAUUCUGUGAUGAAGAAGCAGAUGCAUGGUGUAUAGAAAGAUGCUUGACAUCUGAUAAUGAAACCAAACAAGAACUUAUUCUUUUAAAUCUUUUAUCAGAAUCUGUAAUUGUAUCAAAUUGGGAAAUGAGGUGCCUGCCAGCCAUCAUCCUGAUAGCCUAUAUAAGCAACCCCUUGGUCUCCAAAACUUUGCAGCUCUUUCUCAUUAUCAAUAUAUGUAGAGGCAAUUACGAGACAUUAUGUAUGUAUAUGUAUUAAUCAAGGCUUUUCUCGUUCACUCUCCCUCAAGGGCUUCCCCAACAUGACAUGCAUGGUGCUAGCUUAAUGCUGCCUGCAUAUGGAAAUGCUUGGCGAAGUCCUUAGGGGGGGUGCAUGAGACAUUAUUGUCUUGUUGCAUGCUUUCUGUCAGAUCAGAUCACAUCAGUAAUGCGGACUGUGCAUAAGCGUUUCCUCCAUAGAUGGUUCAUUAAUCUCGCGGCACACUCUUCUUGAUCGUUGGCCGAGGAACCUGAGCUUGAAUUGCCUCAAGUAUAUUGAACUGCCAAACGUACCAAGGUUGCUAAAACCAUGAACUGUACAAGUGUGAUUUCGGCAAUCUCUUGUGGACCAGAUUAUUGAUUUCAUGGAGCUGUUGCGGUCAUCUUCUCGUUAUGACCAUGUACGAAGUUUGAUUUCCCCAUUCAGUAUGUUGGAUCUUGUUUAACUUACAGUUUUUGGCAACUGUGUGGGAAUGAUAUAUGAUUAACCAUCGGCAUGGAA
Long non-coding RNA from Gossypium arboreum, 1008 nucleotides. RefSeq lists it as uncharacterized. The record is from RefSeq and is a predicted model, not a curated record. The transcript has 2 exons. NCBI's taxonomy places the organism in Eukaryota, Viridiplantae, Streptophyta, Magnoliopsida, Malvales, Malvaceae.